GACGAACGCUGGCGGCGUGCUUAACACAUGCAAGUCGAACGGUAAGGCCCUUUCGGGGGUACACGAGUGGCGAACGGGUGAGUAACACGUGAGUAACCUGCCCACUUCUUCGGGAUAACGCUAGGAAACUGGUGCUAAUACCGGAUAUGAGCUCCUGCCGCAUGGUGGGGGUUGGAAAGUGUUUGUGGUGGUGGAUGGACUCGCGGCCUAUCAGCUUGUUGGUGAGGUAGUGGCUCACCAAGGCGGUGACGGGUAGCCGGCCUGAGAGGGUGACCGGCCACAUUGGGACUGAGAUACGGCCCAGACUCCUACGGGAGGCAGCAGUGGGGAAUAUUGCACAAUGGGCGGAAGCCUGAUGCAGCAACGCCGCGUGCGGGAUGACGGCCUUCGGGUUGUAAACCGCUUUCACCAGGGGCGAAGGCAUCCUUUUGGGGUGUGACGUACCUGAGAAGAGC
Molecule: ribosomal RNA, 455 nt
Filed under: Acidipropionibacterium acidipropionici
Lineage: Bacteria; Bacillati; Actinomycetota; Actinomycetes; Propionibacteriales; Propionibacteriaceae
Description: bacterial SSU rRNA
Rfam family: Bacterial small subunit ribosomal RNA
Source: RNAcentral